GGGGAUGUAGCUCAGUGGUAGAGCACUUGCUUUGCAUGUAUGAAGUCCAGGGUUCAAUCCCCUGCAUCUCCA
RNAcentral lists this transfer RNA (72 nucleotides) under Ameiurus melas (black bullhead). It matches the Rfam family "tRNA". From Rfam's summary of the family: Transfer RNA (tRNA) molecules are approximately 80 nucleotides in length. Their secondary structure includes four short double-helical elements and three loops (D, anti-codon, and T loops). Further hydrogen bonds mediate the characteristic L-shaped molecular structure. tRNAs have two regions of fundamental functional importance: the anti-codon, which is responsible for specific mRNA codon recognition, and the 3' end, to which the tRNAs corresponding amino acid is attached (by aminoacyl-tRNA synthetases). tRNAs cope with the degeneracy of the genetic code in two manners: having more than one tRNA (with a specific anti-codon) for a particular amino acid; and 'wobble' base-pairing, i.e. permitting non-standard base-pairing at the 3rd anti-codon position. Lineage: Eukaryota; Metazoa; Chordata; Actinopteri; Siluriformes; Ictaluridae. The record is from Rfam by way of RNAcentral.